GCAUCUAUGGAUAAAUGGUUAAAGCGCCAAACUCAUCAUUGGCGAAUGCAUAGAUUCAAUUCCUACUGGAUGCA
This 74-nucleotide transfer RNA is filed under the name Phaseolus vulgaris (common bean). It matches the Rfam family "tRNA". Rfam says of the family: Transfer RNA (tRNA) molecules are approximately 80 nucleotides in length. Their secondary structure includes four short double-helical elements and three loops (D, anti-codon, and T loops). The record is from Rfam by way of RNAcentral. Lineage: Eukaryota; Viridiplantae; Streptophyta; Magnoliopsida; Fabales; Fabaceae.